Molecule: ribosomal RNA, 251 nt
Filed under: uncultured bacterium
Lineage: Bacteria
Description: partial 16S ribosomal RNA
Rfam family: Bacterial small subunit ribosomal RNA
Source: RNAcentral
GAUGAACGCUGGCGGCGUGCCUAAGACAUGCAAGUCGAGUGGGUUUAGACCCACGGCAAACGGGUGAGUAAUAUCUAGGAACAUGCCCUCAGUUGAGGAUAACCUACCGAAAGGUAGAAUAAUACUCGAUGUGACCGCAAGGUUAAAGUCGCAAGACGCUAAAGGAAGUGGCCUGGACACCAUCAGCUAGUUGGUAAGGUAAUGGCUUACCAAGGCUUUGACGGUUAGGGGCCCCGAGAGGGGAAACCCCA